CCUCUCUCAGGAUCACGCCUGGAGAGUUUCCAGUACUGUACCGGUCUUGGCUAUGGGAGGGAGAGUCAAGCAAAGGCAUACCCAUUCCAUUCCUAGCUUGGCCGGUGGCUAGCGAGUGGAAGGCACUCUGCCACAAGU
Tachyglossus aculeatus (Australian echidna) is the source of this 138-nucleotide small nucleolar RNA. Lineage: Eukaryota; Metazoa; Chordata; Mammalia; Monotremata; Tachyglossidae. The record is from RefSeq and is a predicted model, not a curated record.